UACGGAAGGUGCAAGCGUUAAUCGGAAUUACUGGGCGUAAAGCGUGCGUAGGCGGUCCACUAAGUCGGGUGUGAAAUCCCCGGGCUCAACCUGGGAACUGCAUCCGAUACUGGUGAACUAGAAUCUGGCAGAGGUUAGCGGAAUUCCUGGUGUAGCGGUGAAAUGCGUAGAUAUCAGGAGGAACAUCAAUGGCGAAGGCAGCUAACUGGGUCAAGAUUGACGCUGAGGUACGAAAGCGUGGGGAGCAAACAGG
This 253-nucleotide ribosomal RNA is filed under the name uncultured bacterium. RNAcentral's name for it is "partial 16S ribosomal RNA". It matches the Rfam family "Bacterial small subunit ribosomal RNA", at positions 524 to 776 of the family's 1533-position model. The record is from RNAcentral.